AACGCGAAGAACCUUACCAAGGUUUGACAUGCAGGGAAAAGCCGUAGAGAUAUGGUGUCCGUAAGGGUCCUGCACAGGUGGUGCAUGGCUGUCGUCAGCUCGUGUCGUGAGAUGUUGGGUUAAGUCCCGCAACGAGCGCAACCCUCGUCCUAUGUUGCCAGCGGGUAAUGCCGGGGACUCAUAGGAGACUGCCGGGGUCAACUCGGAGGAAGGUGGGGAUGACGUCAAGUCCUCAUGCCCCUUAUGUCUUGGGCUGCAAACAUGCUACAAUGGCCGGUACAAAGGGUUGCAAGACCGCAAGGUGGAGCGAAUCCCAAAAAGCCGGUCUCAGUUCGGAUUGGGGUCUGCAACUCGACCCCAUGAAGUCGGAGUCGCUAGUAAUCGCGAAUCAGCAACGUCGCGGUGAAUACGUUCCCGGGCCUUGUA
RNAcentral lists this ribosomal RNA (426 nucleotides) under uncultured Actinomycetes bacterium. Its description in RNAcentral is "bacterial SSU rRNA". It matches the Rfam family "Bacterial small subunit ribosomal RNA", at positions 958 to 1385 of the family's 1533-position model. The record is from RNAcentral. Lineage: Bacteria; Bacillati; Actinomycetota; Actinomycetes.